ACCAGUUCACUUUUACGAAAUCUGCUUGAUGUUAUUGAGGAAGUACAGAUAGCACGGUUAGAAAUUAGGGGUCUGAUUCUUACUAGCUUCCGUUCUCCAUCUGGUACACUAUUAUCUCCUCUUUAUUAUGUUUCUUAAAUUUGUGGUUGUGAUGCCGUGGGCUGAAAUUCUUGCUUUGAGAAUUUGACUUUUGAUUCUUUUCUUCAGGAAAAAAAAGUAGAGAUGAUGGAUGACUAGAUCAUAUUUCUUGUUUGAUAUAAUGCCUUUUGAAACCUAUGCAUGCUUAUCCUGCUACGAACUGUUUUACUUAUUAUUUUGUUUUUAUUUAUUGGAAUGGAGCUUAGCGUUUUGGGUGCUCUUGUUUUUAUUUAUGAGUGGUAGGAUAUAAGUCAUAAAACUAGGGAAGGAAAAGUUUUUCUAUUUCCAGGACUCUUUCUUCAGUUAGUUUAACAUAUUCAAGGUAAAGGCUUUUUAAUGAUAGCUGGUGCAAGACCAUUCAAAGUUUUAGUGUUCCUCUCUUUUCCGGUUUGUUUAAGUGUGGUUGUAAAAAGUUUUGGCAUAGCCCACACAUGGCUUGGUGAAGUUAAAUCUAUGCAAAAAUGGUUAGUGUUGAUUAAAAUUAAAAAAUGCAGUAAACUGUCUUUUAUCUUUGGUUUAUUGAAUUCACAGAUAUUGUUGAAAACUAGUCAACAUAAAGUAAUUUAUGAUUUGAGGGUUUGUAAUCUUUACACCUUUAUAUUUCUAAUGUAG
This 750-nucleotide long non-coding RNA is filed under the name Gossypium barbadense (sea-island cotton). Its description in RNAcentral is "long non-coding RNA (GBAR_LNC021098)". Lineage: Eukaryota; Viridiplantae; Streptophyta; Magnoliopsida; Malvales; Malvaceae. The record is from RNAcentral.